Molecule: ribosomal RNA, 482 nt
Filed under: uncultured bacterium
Lineage: Bacteria
Description: partial 16S ribosomal RNA
Rfam family: Bacterial small subunit ribosomal RNA
Source: RNAcentral
AUUGAACGCUGGCGGCAUGCCUUACACAUGCAAGUCGAACGGUAACAGGUCUUCGGAUGCUGACGAGUGGCGAACGGGUGAGUAAUACAUCGGAACGUGCCCGAUCGUGGGGGGUAACGAGGCGAAAGCUUUGCUAAUACCGCAUACGAUCUACGGAUGAAAGCGGGGGAUCUUCGGACCUCGCGCGGACGGAGCGGCCGAUGGCAGAUUAGGUAGUUGGCGGGCUAAAAGCUUACCAAGCCGACGAUCUGUAGCUGGUCUGAGAGGAUGAUCAGCCACACUGGGACUGAGAAACGGCCCAGACUCCGACGGGAGGAAGCAGUGGGGAAUUUUGGACAAUGGGCGAAAGCCUGAUCCAGCAAUGCCGCGUGCAGGAUGAAGGCCUUCGGGUUGUAAACUGAUUUUGUACGGAACGAAAAGCCUCUUUCUAAUAAAGAGGGGUCAUGACGGUACCGUAAGAAUAAGCACCGGCUAACUACGUG